This 519-nucleotide ribosomal RNA is filed under the name Bacillus subtilis. RNAcentral describes it as "bacterial SSU rRNA". It matches the Rfam family "Bacterial small subunit ribosomal RNA", at positions 555 to 1073 of the family's 1533-position model. The record is from RNAcentral. Lineage: Bacteria; Bacillati; Bacillota; Bacilli; Caryophanales; Bacillaceae.
UGGGCGUAAGGGCUCGCAGGCGGUUUCUUAAGUCUGAUGUGAAAGCCCCCGGCUCAACCGGGGAGGGUCAUUGGAAACUGGGAAACUUGAGUGCAGAAGAGGAGAGUGGAAUUCCACGUGUAGCGGUGAAAUGCGUAGAGAUGUGGAGGAACACCAGUGGCGAAGGCGACUCUCUGGUCUGUAACUGACGCUGAGGAGCGAAAGCGUGGGGAGCGAACAGGAUUAGAUACCCUGGUAGUCCACGCCGUAAACGAUGAGUGCUAAGUGUUAGGGGGUUUCCGCCCCUUAGUGCUGCAGCUAACGCAUUAAGCACUCCGCCUGGGGAGUACGGUCGCAAGACUGAAACUCAAAGGAAUUGACGGGGGCCCGCACAAGCGGUGGAGCAUGUGGUUUAAUUCGAAGCAACGCGAAGAACCUUACCAGGUCUUGACAUCCUCUGACAACCCUAGAGAUAGGGCUUUCCCUUCGGGGACAGAGUGACAGGUGGUGCUUGGUUGUCGUCAGCUCGUGUCGUGAGAU